Molecule: RNA transcript, 873 nt
Organism: Capsicum annuum
Lineage: Eukaryota; Viridiplantae; Streptophyta; Magnoliopsida; Solanales; Solanaceae
Exons: 3
Source: RefSeq, a predicted model, not a curated record
GCUGGGCCCGGUUCGGGUCAUGACAGAUGUUCUCCUAUAUAUAUGAUUUCCAUUGGACCCAGAAAUGAUACAUUGGACGAAUCUGUGCUUUUAACUUUGUUAGAAUACAAGUAGCAUUGUUUGUGAGGUGAAAAUUCUCUUUUGUUCAACCCAAAAGAGGAACUUUUUAAAGCUGCUCCAGAUUUGAGUUGUGUACUGCUGCUGGUAUGUGUUUCGCUUGGAGAAACAGAUGGCAAUUUAGGAAUGAUUUAGAUACUCUGAGUGAGCAUCGUUUGACAUCCAAAUGAAUUUGGAAUCUGGUUAUCAUUCAUUAGAAGAAAGUAAUAGGGCAUGUCAAAGAAAAGGCGUUCUCGAAGUGUUUCUGUAGGAAUGCAGCAAAGCUCUUGAGGGGUUCAAAUGGUUCGGAGCUUGGAGUUCCCAAUUCUGAGCCUCAAAACUGCCAUCAUAUUUGCUCGGUUCUGGGGAAGACGGUCCAAAUAAUACCUUGUAUUGUUCCUUUGAGAGAUGAUGUGCAGUUAUUUGGAACCAAGUUUUUCCCGGAAUGGCCUUUCCAAACCAUGCAGCUGAUGGUAUUGAAGUGCAACUGCUGAGGACAAGCCGGGGUUAAUCCUCUACUGCAUUUUGAAGAAAGGUUGUGACUAAGAAGGUGUACCAUUGUUAUCGUUUUGUGGCUGGUAACAAUUAUCACUCCGCUAUUUUGUUGAUCUCUAUCCGGUGUUCAAAUGUAAGGUCCCGGUUGUUUAAACCUCUGUUGUAUCUUCCAUCUUUUUGUGUUCAUUAGAUGGUACAGCACUGAAUGUUAGCUACUUGUCCCUAAACGUACAUAUUUUCUUUCUAAUAAUAUAUUAUCGUACACGUUGAGUGAGUCCUAAA